UCUCUUCCAGAAUAGGAAAACUUGAUAGAAGACUUAUUGCAAAUGCUAUAGUAUUUAUGACUCUUAGGGAAGUUCUCCUCCAGAAUCCUAAAAAACAUCUUGGGCAAAUGACCGCUCUAAGAGAAAA
This is a long non-coding RNA of Octopus sinensis (East Asian common octopus), 127 nucleotides long. RefSeq lists it as uncharacterized. The transcript is spliced from 3 exons. The record is from RefSeq and is a predicted model, not a curated record. NCBI's taxonomy places the organism in Eukaryota, Metazoa, Mollusca, Cephalopoda, Octopoda, Octopodidae.